CGCUAACGCUAGCAACCCCAGCCUGCGGGUUCCCGUGGAGACAGGCCACGGUUACCCGGUAUUUGUCUCGCCUUUGUUUUAUUUACAUUUCAGGUUGCGGUUUCCAGUGCUUGGCAAGUGGAUACGUGAUCCGGUUUUCACAUUGCCUCUUUCUCUGGGUAUCACUGUGCAUGCAACAGAGUCUGGCUUCAAACGAGAUUCUCAAGCUCCGCCUCCUGAGUACUGGCUUGACAAGCAUGAACAGAACCAGUUUUUUCCUAACACCAGAGAUCCUUAGGAUGCUCCUGGCUGGCUACAGAAUCGACUUAGAAGUCAAUGGUGUGUGAGACCACAGAGCAGCAGCUGCAUAGAGAGUAGGAAAACGGUGCUCUCAAUCUUAGGAGGGAGGGGAGCUUUUAAAGUCCAGGGGCUGGAGAGAGAGCUGGCUCAGCUGUUAAGAGAACUGGAUGCGGGGCUGGGGAUUUAGCUCAGUGGUAGAGCGCUUACCUAGGAAGGCCCUGGGUUCGGUCCCCAGCUCCGAAAAAAAGAACCAAAAAAAAAAAAAAAAAAAAGGCAUGUACCCACGGUACCCUGCAGAAGUAAAAGUUUAAAUCAUUUAAUUUUAUGUGUAUGAGUGUUUUACCCGCAUGUAUGUAAGUGUACGUGUGCCUGCUUGGUGCCCUCAGAGGUCUGAACGUGACAUUGUAUCCCCUGAGACUGGAGUUAUAGAUGAUCGUGGACCAUAAUGUGGGUGCUGGGAAUCAGCCUGGCUCUUCCGCAAAAGCAACAAGUAUCAUAAUAAAGCCAUCUCUCCAGCUCCAUAAACAUUUUAAUUAAUUUACUGAUUUUAUAUGUGUGGAUGUUCGGCCUACAUGGGAGCAUGUGCCUGGUGCUUAAGGAGGCCAGAAGAGUGCAUUGGAUCCCGUGGGACUGUACUUACAGAUGGUCGUGGGCUGCCAUGUGGGUACUGGGAAUUAAACACGAGUCCUCUGGAAGAACAGCCGGUGCUCCUAGCUGCUGAGCCACCACACUAGCAUUUGACAUCAAGAAUGUCUGUAUUUGGGGGUUGGGGAUUUAGCUCAGUGGUAGAGCGCUUGCCUAGCAAACGCAAGGCCCUGGGUUCGGUCCCCAGCUCCGAAAAAAAAAGAAAGAAAGAAAGAAAAAGAAAAAAAAAAGAAUGUCUGUAUUUGACAGAUUUAGAGAAACUACAAGUACACGGCCCAAGAUUACUCUCGAGCCAGGAGUAGCAACUGUAAUCCCUCCACAGGUGGAUAUGGGAAUUCUGUAACCUUAAAUUCAAGGUGAGCCAGGCCAUGUUGUGGAGAGCUUGUCUCGAGAUUAAGUAAGUUAAAAAAUAUUUUAAUGUUUAUUAAUAUGCUAAUAUAUUUUAUUAAUAUAUUAAAAUUUAAAACAAUUAAAAAAAACAGUGUAGGGAAAUGGCCCAGUGAAUAAAGGGCUCGAUGGGAAACCUUCCAUUUGAAUUCAGUCUCCAGAAUCGGUGAAAAACCCACAUGCAUUGCAAACCUGUCAUCCCAGUCUCCUACGCCAAGGAGACAAGAGGGUCAGCUUAUAACCGCCAGCUUUUCCACCUGUGCCCCAGGUCCCAAACGGCAACUCAAAGGCGUAACAUUAUUAGUAAAUACCUAAGCCAUAAGCUAGGCCCACUCCCCAGCUAACUCAAGUUAAAUCCCGUUUAUUCUAACCUGAAUUCAGCUACGUGGCUGGCUUCCUCUCCUCAGCUUAUUGACCAUCAGUUUUUUUAUUGAUAGGUGAUGCUUCCACAGGGUACUCAGGAGAUUAUCCCUAUAUCACCUGGAAACAAGGCUUGCUAGAAGUCUCGGAGCCCAUAUAAGUAUGUGGGUCAAUGUACUGGCUGGUUUUGUGUGUCAACUGGACACAAGCUGGAGUUAUCACAGAGAAAGGAGCCUCCAUUGAAGAAAUGCAUUCCUGAGACCCAGCUGUAAGGCAUUUUCUCAAUUAGUGAUCAAGGGGAGAGGACCCAGCCCACCUGUGGGUGGUGCCAUCUCUGGGCUAGUGGUCUUGGGUUCUAUAAGAAAGCAGGCUGAGCAAGCCAGGGGGAGCAAGCCAGUAAGUAACAUCCCUCCACGGCCUCUGCAUCAGCUCCUGCUUCCUGACCUGCUUGAGUUCCUGUCCUGACUCUCUUUGGUGAUGAACAGCCAUGUGGAAGUGUAAGCUGAAUAAACCCUUUCCUCCCCAGCUUGCUUCUUGGUCACGAUGUUUGUGCGGGAAUAGAAACCCUGACUAAGACAGUCAGCUAUCCCGGGAUGGACAUCUCAGUGGUAGAAACGAGAGAUCCUGCCUGAAAAACCAUGUGGAAGAUACGGGGCUGGAGGAAUGGCUCAGGAGUCAAGGGCACUGGCUGUCCUUUCAGAUAACCAGGGUUCAAUUGGCAGCACCCACUUGACCACUGUCAACUGUAACUCCAGUUCCAGGGCACGGAAUACCCUGCUUCUGGUCUCUGUGAGCUCUAGACAUUCAUGUACACAUACAUACAUACAUACAAGGAAAACACACGUACACAUAAGAUAAUUUAAGAAAAACACAAGGUAGGAGGAGAGAACUGACACACAGGAACAAACCCACAGGGACAUACAACCCACAGGUUUUUUUCUUCCUAUAUAGAUAUAUGAUAAUUUAAUGUAUAUAUGAUUUUCUUCUGUAUAUAUUUUUCUAUAUAAUAUAUAUGACUAUAUAAUUUUUAUGAUAAAAUAUGAUACAUCUUUUUUUCCUUUUUUUUUUUUUUGGAAAAAGGGUCUCUAUGUCCUAGAAUUGCUAAGUAGAUCAGGAUAUCCCAAAACACAAAGUUCUGCCUCUGCCUCCUGAGUGCUAGGAUUAAAGUUGUGUAUCCCAACACUCCAUAUAUUUACAUCGUGUGUGUGUGUGUGUGUGUGUGUGUGUGUGUGUGUCACGGUGGUGCUGGUGGAGGUCAGAGUCUUCUCCCCUUUCAUCACUCAUCAUGUGGGUCCCAGAGAUCAAGCUCAAGUGACCUACUUUCACUUUCGGGGCCACCUUGCUGUCUUCUUUCAACCAAGUUUUGCUCAAUAUCUGAUGGCGGGUCUGGUAAGACAGCUCCCUGGUUAAGAUCCCUUGUUGCCCUUACAGAGGACUCAGGCUGCUGUCUGGCCUCUGCCUGGCUGUUGAGUCAUAACCACCACCAGAAGAUGACAAGAACACAGCCGCUGGAACCCGUCAGCCAAUAGCCCCGAGCAAGUUAUUAACUCCUAAGCCUCAAUUUUCUCAUCAGUAAAAUGGGCCUAAUAAUCAUUUGCAAAGCCAGGCUAAUGCCAACCUUGGGUUUCCCACACGGCAGUUAGAGAGAUGAAAUGCAAUAAAUGCAUGUGAAAGCAACUUGUGAACCAGAAAGCCGCUCACACUGGGAGCCAUUACUAAGAGGUUGUGAGAAACAAGUGCCUGGGAAAGAGUCUAUUAUCGCGAGCGCACGCGUGUGUGUGGAUUGUGCCACUCAGAGGACAACGUUUGGGAGCUGAUGCUCUCCUUUCACAGGGUUUUCACAUCCGGGCUGGACUUCCGGCCACUCUGCUACCCUGAGAGACGGUCGGCUUUACCAACUCCUAGACAUUUCCUUCACCGCCUCGACUCUUUCUGCUUACUCGUUUGUACUUCCGUCUUACCUUUCUGAGCCUGCAACCCUGUACACGGGGACACUCCGGCCUGCUUCCCCCCAUACUGCCUUGCUCUCAGUGUCUGAGAGAGGCAGUGUCUCAGGGAGCUCCUGCUGGAGUCACGUGCUUUAGUGGACCAUACCCUGACGCCAGAUACCGCCAGCGUUGGGUCCAAGGAGAACUCACCUGAGGAGAGAGGAAAUCAUCUGUCCAAUGUAGACCUUGAAAACUAACUCCCUAUCCCCCCUCACCACCCCCUCCACAGGGUUUCUCAAAAGGUCCACCUGCCUCUGUCUCCUGAGAGCUGUGACUGAAGCCUGUGCCACCCCUGCUUGGCAAACUGUCUUUUUAAAAAAGAAUAAAUUCGUAUUUUUCUGUG
Non-coding RNA from Rattus norvegicus (Norway rat), 4002 nucleotides. NCBI's taxonomy places the organism in Eukaryota, Metazoa, Chordata, Mammalia, Rodentia, Muridae. The record is from RefSeq and is a predicted model, not a curated record.